GAGUUUGAUCUUGGCUCAGGAUGAACGCUGGCGGCGUGCCUAAUACAUGCAAGUCGAACGGGAUAAGCAAUUAUCCAGUGGCGACCGGGUGAGUAACACGUAGCUGACCUACCCUUCGCAGGGGGAUAACGGGUCGAAAGACCUGCUAAUACCGCAUACGCUCGCGGGGACUAGAAUCCCGUGAGGAAAACUCAGGUGGCGAAGGAGGGGGCUGCGGCCCAUCAGCUAGUUGGCGAGGUAAUGGCUCACCAAGGCGAAGACGGGUAGCUGGUCUGAGAGGAUGAUCAGCCACACUGGUACUGGAACACGGACCAGACUCCUACGGGAGGCAGCAGUGGGGAAUCUUGGUCAAUGGGCGAAAGCCUGAACCAGCGACGCCGCGUGAGUGAUGAAGGCCUUCGGGUUGUAAAGACUCUGUGGGGCGGAGACGAAAGACCUACGUUCUAACAGGACGUAGUUGACGGUAUCGCCUUAGCAAGCACCGGCUAACUCU
Molecule: ribosomal RNA, 493 nt
Filed under: uncultured delta proteobacterium
Lineage: Bacteria; Deltaproteobacteria
Description: bacterial SSU rRNA
Rfam family: Bacterial small subunit ribosomal RNA
Source: RNAcentral